RNAcentral lists this transfer RNA (82 nucleotides) under subsurface metagenome. Its description in RNAcentral is "tRNA-Leu". The record is from RNAcentral.
GAAGGCAAAGGCUUUGGAUUUGUAGAAAUGUCUUCUUCAGAAGAAGCUGGAAAAGCCAAAGAUGCGAUCCCUUUUCCCUUUU